CCUACGGGGUGCUGCAGUGAGGAAUAUUGGUCAAUGGACGAGAGUCUGAACCAGCCAAGUAGCGUGAAGGAUGACUGCCCUAUGGGUUGUAAACUUCUUUUAUAUGGGAAUAAAAUGUUCCACGUGUGAGAUUUUGUAUGUACCAUAUGAAUAAGGAUCGGCUAACUCCGUGCCAGCAGCCGCGGUAAUACGGAGGAUCCGAGCGUUAUCCGGAUUUAUUGGGUUUAAAGGGAGCGUAGGUGGAUUGUUAAGUCAGUUGUGAAAGUUUGCGGCUCAACCGUAAAAUUGCAGUUGAAACUGGCAGUCUUGAGUACAGUAGAGGUGGGCGGAAUUCGUGGUGUAGCGGUGAAAUGCUUAGAUAUCACGAAGAACUCCGAUUGCGAAGGCAGUUCACUGGACUGCAACUGACACUGAGGCUCGAAAGUGUGGGUAUCAAACAGGAUUAGAUACCCGUGUAGUC
This 460-nucleotide ribosomal RNA is filed under the name uncultured bacterium. RNAcentral's name for it is "partial 16S ribosomal RNA". It matches the Rfam family "Bacterial small subunit ribosomal RNA", at positions 338 to 795 of the family's 1533-position model. The record is from RNAcentral.